UGAGUACGAGAUGCUACGGCAUCGAAGCAGUCUAUGUCAUACUUCCAAGAAAAGCUUGCACUGUCAUAAACAAAGAAUGCCUGUACCAUAACCGACACAGGUGGGUAGGUAGAGUAUACUAAGGGGCGCGAGAUAACUCUCUCUAAGGAACUCGGCAAAAUGACUCCGUAACUUCGGGAGAAGGAGUGCCUUAUUUCUAAGGUUGCAAUAACAAGAUCCAAGCAACUGUUUACCAAAAACACAGGUCUCCGCUAAGUCGUAAGACGAUGUAUGGGGGCUGACGCCUGCCCAGUGCCAGAAGGUUAAAGAAGUUGGUUAGCAUUAGCGAAGCUGAUAACUGAAGCCCUGGUGAACGGCGGCCGUAACAAUAACGGUCCUAAGGUAGCGAAAUUCCUUGUCGGGUAAGUUCCGACCCGCACGAAAGGCGUGAUGAUUUGGAUACUGUCUCGGAGAGGGGCUCGGUGAAAUAGACUUGUCUGUGAAGAUGCGGACUACCUGCACCUGGACAGAAAGACCCUAUGAAGCUUUACUGUAACUUGAGAUUGAAAUUGGACUUUAUUUGCGCAGUAAAGGUGGGAGGCGUUGAGAAUAAUCUUGCGGGAUUGUUGGAGCCAUCAGUGAGAUACCACUCUUGUAAUGUUAGAUUUCUAACUUUGUAUCAUUAUCUGGUCAAAGAACAGUUUCAGGCGGGCAGUUUGACUGGGGCGGUCGCCUCCCAAAGGGUAACGGAGGCGCACAAAGGUUUCCUCUGAACGGGUAGAAAUCGUAUCUAGAGUGUAAAGGCAUAAGGAAGCUUGACUGUGAGACCUACAAGUCGAGCAGGGACGAAAGUCGGUCUUAGUGAUCUGACGGUGCUGAGUGGAAAGGCCGUCACUCAACGGAUAAAAGUUACUCUAAGGAUAACAGGCUGAUCUCCCCCAAGAGUUCACAUCGACGGGGAGGUUUGGCACCUCGAUGUCGGCUCAUCGCAUCCUGGGGCGGUAGUCCGUCCCAAGGGUUGGGCUGUUCGCCCAUGAAAGCGGUACGCGAGCUGGGUUCAGAACGUCGUGAGACAGUUCGGUCCAUAUCCGGUGUAGGCGUUAGAAUAUUGAGAGGAGCCUUCUCUAGUACGAGAGGACCGAGAAGGACAUACCUCUGGUGUACCAGUUACCGUGCCGACGGUAAACGCUGGGUAGCUAUGUACGGAGUGGAUAACCGCUGAAAGCAUCUAAGUGGGAAGCCCACCUCAAGAUAAGUAUUCCC
This 1242-nucleotide ribosomal RNA is filed under the name metagenome. RNAcentral's name for it is "bacterial LSU rRNA". It matches the Rfam family "Bacterial large subunit ribosomal RNA", at positions 1564 to 2815 of the family's 2925-position model. The record is from RNAcentral.